RNAcentral lists this long non-coding RNA (783 nucleotides) under Bos mutus (wild yak). RNAcentral's name for it is "lncRNA (ENSBMUG00000014606.1)". The record is from RNAcentral. Lineage: Eukaryota; Metazoa; Chordata; Mammalia; Artiodactyla; Bovidae.
CUUUCUAUGCUCCUUUCUAUGUGUUCUUCUGUCUCUGGUUUUACUGCUCCUAUAACUUCACAGAUGGCUGUCUCCUGUCUGACUACCUUCUCCCUGUGCCCCAACAGGAGAGCAGGACUCUGACUCAGCUUGGAAGGAGCUGUAGGGUGAAGCCACACCUUCUUUCAGCCUGACUUGGACGGGUGAGCUGAAGGGACAUCUCCGAGACCCUGCUGCUGCCAUCAUGAGCUCGAUAGACCUCUUUUACUGCUCAGGGCACCAGAGCAUGCUGUCUACUUCCUCCUCCACUGCCAUCCAGCAAGGGACUCAGAAGUGAGGCCAAGACAGCCCGCAGUGAGGGGAACAGCUGAUGGGGAUCCCCAAGAGAGUGAAACUGUUUUUCAAGUUGUUGUUGAACGUUCCCAGGUCACAGAAAAGAAACUGACGGUCUUACUCCGAAACUGGAAGAUGUUUGUGGUUAAGGCCGAUAUACCCAGGUAACAUGCAUGGGUUUACCAAGAAUGUGACUCAGAUCCCUCUGCCCCAGGCUAGGUUCCUCCUGGCAGGUACACCUCCUCCAGGCAGCAUCCUGUAGUUGGAGUCAAGGAUGUUCCUUCUCAAGAUCCCAAUAGCAGUGUUUCCUUUAUGGCAUUUGGUGGCAGUGAAUGGCCUUGUGUGGUGAAGAUAUGAAACCUGCUACAGGGGCAGGUUAUGUGACCUUGGUCAUGUGACUGAACUACUCUCUGCCUUAGUUUCUUCAUCUGUUCAGUUUUAUUGUGCAGACACUGAGAUCAUGCAUGCAAA